RNAcentral lists this ribosomal RNA (132 nucleotides) under Candidatus Mediterraneibacter excrementigallinarum. RNAcentral's name for it is "partial 23S ribosomal RNA". It matches the Rfam family "Bacterial large subunit ribosomal RNA", at positions 2795 to 2925 of the family's 2925-position model. Lineage: Bacteria; Bacillati; Bacillota; Clostridia; Lachnospirales; Lachnospiraceae. The record is from RNAcentral.
CCCCUCAAGAUGAGAUAUCCCAUAACGUCAAGUUAGUAAGACCCCUUGAAGACGACGAGGUAGAUAGGGCAGAGGUGGAAGUGCGGUAACGCAUGGAGCUGACUGUUACUAAUAGGUCGAGGGCAUAACCAA